AAAUGAGAAGAAUUUAACGACCUCUACGAGGAACAAUUGGAGGGCAAGUCUGGUGCCAGCAGCCGCGGUAAUUCCAGCUCCAAUAGCGUAUAUUAAAGUUGUUGCAGUUAAAAAGCUCGUAGUUGGAUUUCUGGCGGGGACCCAAGUACCCCUGGUGGGUGUGCGCGGGCCCGGCCAUCCUUCUGUCAACUUUCGCGCGUCCUUCACCGGUCGGCAAAGGGAUCAGAUAAUUUACCUUGAGAAAAUUAGAGUGUUUCAGGCAGGCUUAGCCGGAAUACAUUAGCAUGGAAUAAUGGAAUAGGACUGAGGUCUCGUUGUUGGUUACGCGGACUCCAGUAAUGAUUAAUAGGGACAGUUGGGGGCAUUAGUAUUUAUUAGCUAGAGGUGGAAUUCUCUAAUUUGAUAAAGACUAACUUAUGCGAAAGCAUUUGCCAAGGAUGUUUUCAUUAAUCAAGAACGAAAGUUAGGGGAUCAAAGACGAUCAGAUACCGUCCUAGUCUUAACCAUAAACUAUGCCGACUCGGGAUCGGGAGCGUGUGUUAUCCGCUUUCGGCACCGUA
This 560-nucleotide ribosomal RNA is filed under the name uncultured ciliate. RNAcentral's name for it is "SSU rRNA". It matches the Rfam family "Eukaryotic small subunit ribosomal RNA", at positions 512 to 1090 of the family's 1831-position model. The record is from RNAcentral. Lineage: Eukaryota; Ciliophora.